CCAUCGACAUCACUUUCUUCUCUGCAACUCGAGCUCUGCUCCCGCCUCACCCUACAGCCCAUACCACCACCACCUCUACUCAAACAGUUCCCCAAACAACCUAUCAUCAUCAUCACCAUCACUCUUCUCUCCACCUUUUAUCAACCUACUUCUUCACUUUCUUCUCUCUCAGUAGCCUAUGUGAAGAAUUAGGUCAAUAAUAGUUGGAGUAAGAAUCAGGUCUGCAACUCGCACCACAACAGCAUGGUAGGAAGCAACAACAUGGGUAGAAGCAGUGGAGUGGAAAUCAGUCGAAUUUGGUGUCGGCCAUACUGUUGUGCAAACCAAAGAAAAGAGAGAACAAGCUUGUGGUGCUGCUGUUCAAGCCAAGGAAAAGAAGAGGAGCAGGACAUCUUGUGGGUUAAAGCUUAACCCAGCUGAGCAUAAACCCAGUUCUACACUGGGUGUGUGGUAUUUUACUUCCACUCCGAUUUCUGGGCUUUUAUUAAGACUUGUUCACUGAACUGUGGGCUUAAACCCAAACCCAAACUAAAGAAGGCUGUGUUUAGGCAUGGAAAAUUUCUUGUUUGGUCCUAGGCCCAUAUAGUUAUUUAUAGUAGGGUCCAACCGGAAUCUUUUUUUAUCAGGAGGUCCAAAAUUAAUUAAAACAUGAAAAUGUCCAUAAUGCCCAUUACUACCAAA
This is a long non-coding RNA of Papaver somniferum (opium poppy), 681 nucleotides long. RefSeq lists it as uncharacterized. The record is from RefSeq and is a predicted model, not a curated record. The transcript has 2 exons. NCBI's taxonomy places the organism in Eukaryota, Viridiplantae, Streptophyta, Magnoliopsida, Ranunculales, Papaveraceae.